RNAcentral lists this ribosomal RNA (1256 nucleotides) under Paratephritis takeuchii. Its description in RNAcentral is "partial 16S ribosomal RNA". Lineage: Eukaryota; Metazoa; Arthropoda; Insecta; Diptera; Tephritidae. The record is from RNAcentral.
UGCAAAUCAUUAUAAAUUGAUUUUUAUAAUUUAUUUAUUAAAUUUAUGGUGAUUUAUGUAAUAUUAUAUUAGUUAAUAAAUUUAUUUUAUUAAAAAUAAUUAUAAAAAUUUUUGUUUUAGUAUUGUUUAUUGAAAAAAUAAAUUUAAUAAUAGUUAAUUUGUAUUGUAAAAGAUUAUUGAAAAAUUUUGAAAAAUUUUUAUAAUAAAAGAAAAAUUAAUUAUUUGUACCUUGUGUAUCAGGGUUUAUUAAAUAAUUAAUAGUUAUAUUUAUUAAUUUCGAUUUUAUAAGAGUUAAUAAUUUAUGAAAGUUAAUGUGUCAUAAUUAUUUUUAAUAAAUUAUUAGAAAUGAAAUGUUAUUCGUUUAUAAAGGUAUCUAGUUUUUUUAGAAAUAAAUUUAAUUUAGUAAUUUUUAAUUUUAUUUAAUAAUUAUAUUAAUAAAUAAAGUUAUUGAUUGAAAUAUUUUAAGGGAUAAGCUUUAAAAUAAAUUAUUAUAAAUUAAUUAAAUUUAUUAUUUAAAAUAUAUGCAUAAAAUUAGCAAUUAUUAUAAAUUUUGUUAUAAAUUAUUUUUAUGUUUAUAUUAUUAUUAUUUAUUUAUAUUUUAAUUUUUUAUAAAAAUUUUUUUUUUAAUAUUAUUAAAAAAUUAAUAAUGAUAAAAUUAGUAUAUAUAUUUAUUUUUGUUUAUAUAAUUUUAGGUGAUAAGUUUAUAUAAAGAAUUCGGCAAAUAAUUUACUCGCCUGUUUAACAAAAACAUGUCUUUUUGAGUUAUUUUUAAAGUCUAACCUGCCCAAUGAAUUAAUUUUAAUGGCCGCAGUAUUUUGACUGUGCAAAGGUAGCAUAAUCAUUAGUCUUUUAAUUGAAGGCUUGUAUGAAUGGUUGGACGAAGUAUAAGCUGUUUCAUAUAAAAUUAUUGUAGAAUUUUAUAUUUUAGUAAAAAAGCUAAAAUUUUGUUAAAAGACGAGAAGACCCUAUAAAUCUUUAUAUUUUUUAUUAUUUUUAUUUUUUAGAUUAAUUUUAUUUUUAUAAUAGAAAAUAUUUUAUUGGGGUGAUAUUAAAAUUUGUAUAACUUUUAAUUUAUGUAUAUAUCAUUGAUUUAUGAUUUAUUGAUCCAUUAUUAUUGAUUAUAAGAUUAAGUUACUUUAGGGAUAACAGCGUAAUUUUUUUGGAGAGUUCAUAUUGAUAAAAAAGUUUGCGACCUCGAUGUUGGAUUAAGAUAUAUUUUAGGUGUAGUUGCUUAAAUAAUAAGUCUGUUCGACUUU